GACGAACGCUGGCGGCGUGCUUAACACAUGCAAGUCGAACGGAAAGGCCUCUUUCGGGGGGUACUCGAGUGGCGAACGGGUGAGUAACACGUGAGUAACCUGCCCUUGACUUUGGGAUAACUUCAGGAAACUGGGGCUAAUACCGGAUAGGAGCUCCUGCUGCAUGGUGGGGGUUGGAAAGUUUCGGCGGUUGGGGAUGGACUCGCGGCUUAUCAGCUUGUUGGUGGGGUAGUGGCUUACCAAGGCUUUGACGGGUAGCCGGCCUGAGAGGGUGACCGGCCACAUUGGGACUGAGAUGCGGCCCAGACGCCUACGGGAGGCAGCAGUGGGGAAUAUUGAACAAUGGGUGGAAGCCUGAUGCAGCAACGCCGUGUGCGGGAUGACGGCCUUCGGGUUGUAAACCGCUUUCGCUCAUGACGAAGCUUUGUGUGACGUUAGUGGGUAAAGAAGCACCGGCUAACUACGUG
This 467-nucleotide ribosomal RNA is filed under the name uncultured bacterium. RNAcentral's name for it is "partial 16S ribosomal RNA". It matches the Rfam family "Bacterial small subunit ribosomal RNA", at positions 28 to 507 of the family's 1533-position model. The record is from RNAcentral.